This 784-nucleotide ribosomal RNA is filed under the name Escherichia coli. Its description in RNAcentral is "partial 23S ribosomal RNA". It matches the Rfam family "Bacterial large subunit ribosomal RNA", at positions 614 to 1398 of the family's 2925-position model. Lineage: Bacteria; Pseudomonadati; Pseudomonadota; Gammaproteobacteria; Enterobacterales; Enterobacteriaceae. The record is from RNAcentral.
AAUGGGUCAGCGACUUAUAUUCUGUAGCAAGGUUAACCGAAUAGGGGAGCCGAAGGGAAACCGAGUCUUAACUGGGCGUUAAGUUGCAGGGUAUAGACCCGAAACCCGGUGAUCUAGCCAUGGGCAGGUUGAAGGUUGGGUAACACUAACUGGAGGACCGAACCGACUAAUGUUGAAAAAUUAGCGGAUGACUUGUGGCUGGGGGUGAAAGGCCAAUCAAACCGGGAGAUAGCUGGUUCUCCCCGAAAGCUAUUUAGGUAGCGCCUCGUGAAUUCAUCUCCGGGGGUAGAGCACUGUUUCGGCAAGGGGGUCAUCCCGACUUACCAACCCGAUGCAAACUGCGAAUACCGGAGAAUGUUAUCACGGGAGACACACGGCGGGUGCUAACGUCCGUCGUGAAGAGGGAAACAACCCAGACCGCCAGCUAAGGUCCCAAAGUCAUGGUUAAGUGGGAAACGAUGUGGGAAGGCCCAGACAGCCAGGAUGUUGGCUUAGAAGCAGCCAUCAUUUAAAGAAAGCGUAAUAGCUCACUGGUCGAGUCGGCCUGCGCGGAAGAUGUAACGGGGCUAAACCAUGCACCGAAGCUGCGGCAGCGACACUAUGUGUUGUUGGGUAGGGGAGCGUUCUGUAAGCCUGUGAAGGUGUACUGUGAGGUAUGCUGGAGGUAUCAGAAGUGCGAAUGCUGACAUAAGUAACGAUAAAGCGGGUGAAAAGCCCGCUCGCCGGAAGACCAAGGGUUCCUGUCCAACGUUAAUCGGGGCAGGGUGAGUCGACCCCUAAGGCG